CCAAGGCGUGUGCCGAUUGCACAGUGGCUCAGCUUUGAACAUUUCAACGGCUCAGGAGGAACCAUGGAAAAUUCUCUCAACAAUGGAUACUUAAUUUCAUCCUCCAUGCAGUUCGCACAAGUUCUCGCCAAUGAUAUGCCGCAUGCCAUCCAAGACGGUGUCUCCGACGGCUGGCCGUGGGAAAUGCCACUAGCAAAUACGUAAAGAGAUCCGCUAUCACGAGCUAUAUCCAUCAGGUCUCGAACGGGGAAAUUACUCAAGGGAACAGAACCCUCUCGAGAUUUCAAUGCUGGCUGAUAUAGACUGGGCACCGUGGAUCAACCCUGUAAUGCAGCUACCUGUGGAAGUUUUGGGCCUCAAGGCCUC
This 366-nucleotide small RNA is filed under the name Histoplasma capsulatum var. duboisii H88. RNAcentral describes it as "Histoplasma capsulatum H88 hypothetical RNA". The record is from RNAcentral. Lineage: Eukaryota; Fungi; Ascomycota; Eurotiomycetes; Onygenales; Ajellomycetaceae.